AAAAUAAGGAGACUAUUUAUUUACAUUGCCAAUGAGAAUUAACAUAUCCAUGCACCAAAGUUGAAACAAUAGACAGUUAAUGUACUGAGUACAAAAUCUUUCAGUAACACAAGCAUAUAUAUAUAUAUAUAUAUAUAUAUAUUACAAUAUCAAAUGUAACAUCAUGUAAAACCAUCGUAGAGUAAAAGAAAAGAAUCACACAUAUGAUUGCCAACCAGACAACCAUGCAUUAGAGACCAUUAUUUGAUUAAAAUUAUACUGAGGCUUGUUAUAAGCCAGAUUUAAUGUUAGAAUAAAAUUUAUGAUUUCUAGAUUACAAAAGUAAAAAAUAAUUUUGACAAAUUAUUGAGUAUCUUAGACAUAUUUAUGCCAUACUGAACACUUUGCAUCAAUAUUUCCUAUAAUCAGAUAAGACAUAAAAAUUGUAACUGUGGCAAACGUUAACUGGAAUAACAUAAAAAUCUAGUAAAAUACAUGUAUAGAUUUUGGAAUAGUAUUCCUGUGUAUUAAAUACAGGGCUCAUAUAAAAACAAAUGAGCAUAGAAAAAUAUAGACAUCACAGGAUGAGGUGUGCUUCAUCAUCUGCAUCAUCAUCUUCCUCAUGUUCUGAAUCAGAAUCAUUAUCUUCAAAAACAGGAUAACCACAUUUAACUCUAUCAAUAAUAUUAUAUAUACAAUUGUGAUAAACGAGUCGUUUGUCGUCGACAUCAUUCCUUUGGCAAAAUGGUGUCAAAGAUUUUUCCUGAUAACUUCCAUAUUUAUGUUUACUGUAUAAUUAAAAGGCUUUAAGGAUGCUAGUUCGCUACUCUGUAAAAAAAAAAUAACAAGCUUUUCAACAGACUAUUAUGAAUUGAUAGUACAUAAAUAAAGAAACUAAAAAAGUAGAAAAAAAAUGGAGGGUCCGUGUGCUUGUUUUCGAGAUAUAAGCCAUUGAA
This 935-nucleotide long non-coding RNA is filed under the name Mytilus galloprovincialis (Mediterranean mussel). The record is from RNAcentral. Lineage: Eukaryota; Metazoa; Mollusca; Bivalvia; Mytilida; Mytilidae.